CCUCCUUUCUAAGGAUGAGUGAAAGUAAAAUUUCACUCUAAAUAAUAUACAUCGGUAAUGUUGACCGUCCUCAUUUCUCUUCUUAAAGUAAUGUUUCCUUCUUGUAGGGCCGGUAGCUCAGUUGGUUAGAGCACACCCUUGAUAAGGGUGGGGUCAAAAGUUCGAGUCUUUCUCGGCCCACCAAAAACCUAAAUGGGGGAUUAGCUCAUCUGGGAGAGCGCCUGAUUUGCAUUCAGGAGGUAGCAGGUUCGAUCCCUGUAUCCUCCACCAGGAAACAUUUAGUUAUUAAAACUGUAAAUAAAAAUAAUUUAUAUCAAUAUCUAUAUCCGAACAUUAAAAGUUAUUAUUUAAUGUUCAAAAUAAAAAUUUGAUCACAACACAGAUUAAAUUUCUUUAAAAAGAAUUUUUUUCUGUGCAUAAUCAAGCGUUUAAGGGCGUGUAGUGGAUGCCUGGGCACUGAAAGCCGAUGAAGGACGUGAUA
RNAcentral lists this transfer RNA (481 nucleotides) under uncultured Pelagibacterales bacterium. RNAcentral describes it as "partial 16S-23S ribosomal RNA intergenic spacer". The stretch from base 195 to 267 matches the Rfam family "tRNA". Lineage: Bacteria; Pseudomonadati; Pseudomonadota; Alphaproteobacteria; Candidatus Pelagibacterales. The record is from RNAcentral.